ACACUGCACUCCAGCCUAGGCAACAGAGCAAGAGCCUGUCUAAAAAAAUAAAUAAAUAAAAUAGUAAAACAGCCAAGCUUGUACCACAGAGUCUUCAAGGUCCCAGGCCCUAUCUAUCUCAUGCUCCGCCAUAUCCAGUGCUGGCCCUCGGAUCAGAAUGGUGUCAUCACUCCACUGUCCACCCAGAGAGAAGGCGAGACAUCCAUAUCCCCGAUCCAUUUAGCUAUGAGAAGCUGGAAAAUGGCUGUGAGUCGGCCUCUUGUCCGGUUAGAACUAACUCAGGUUGCGCACCUCCAGUCUCCUCUUCCGGCAGGAAGAAAGCAUUCCUAUCACUUCCUGCUUCUCAAGCCCUACUGUUUCAGCGAUCCUCAUUGGAGGAAUCAGCAGUCGAAAGAAGAGCAGGCCAAGCACUCUCGUGACGUGGCUUUCAGAGAGCGGAAGUUGUCAUAUUUCACCGAGCCGUAAAGCGCGCUGGCUGUGUCAUCUUCCGGUUAGCGACAACGGCUCUGACCGUCCGACAGUCCGCGUGGCGCCCGCACCGGCCUUCCUGCGGCGGACUCUGCCGGAGCCUUCCAGAUUCCGUUUGUUUCCCUGUUGUCGCACGCUGCACCCUGGAUCAUGUUCAAGAAGUUUGAUGAAAAGGAAAGUGUGUCCAACUGCAUCCAGUUGAAAACGUCAGUUAUUAAGGGCAUUAAGAGCCAACUGAUAGAGCAAUUUCCAGGUAUUGAACCAUGGCUUAAUCAAAUCAUGCCUAAGAAAGAUCCUGUCAAAAUAGUCCGAUGCCACGAACAUACAGAAAUCCUUACCGUAAGUGGGGAAUUAUUGUUUUUUAGACAAAGAAAGGGGCCUUUUUGUCCAACUCUAAGGUUGCUUCACAAAUACCCUUUUAUCCUGCCACACCAGCAGGUUGAUAAAGGAGCUAUCAAAUUUGUACUCAGCGGAGCAAAUAUUAUGUGUCCAGGUUUAACUUCUCCUGGAGCUAAGCUGUACCCUGCUGCAGUAGAUACGAUUGUUGCAGUCACAGCGGAAGGAAAACAGCAUGCUCUGUGUGUUGGGGUCUUGAGAAAGUCAACAAAGGAAUUGGCAUUGAAAACAUUCAUUAUUUAAAUGAUGGGCUGUGGCACAUGAAGACAUAUAAAUGAGCCUCAGAAGGAAUGCGUUUGGGGGACUAAAUGUGGAUAUUGAUUGUGCUGUAUGUGUGUUUGUGUCUGUGUGUAACAGCGUGAAAACACUGCCUCUGUGGUUAUACUAAAUAAGUUUAACAGAUACUUUAAAGAAAACAAAUCAGGGUGCUGUUACCACAGAGGAAAAAACAAAUUAGGGGACAAGCAGCAAGCAGUCGGCUACACUCUGGAAUCUGAAAGCAGCGGCUGGACCCUGUGACUCUCAAGCUCCACAGCCUCUCUUGUCCUCUUUUUAGGAAGCUUGGAAGCAAACAAGAAUAUUCUAACAUCAGGAUGUUUACCACAAGGCCCCCCACAAAAGCAGCCUUGGGGACUCCCGCCUUUCCUUAAGACCUGCAUCUCUUAGCUUCUUCAUUGUCUGCUAAUGAACUAAGGCUGCCGCUAACCUUCUUCAUCCCUUUGGUGGCAAAGUAGAAAGAUUCCAGAAUUAACUCAGACUCUCUUUUAGACCUGGGCUCAGUGGCAGUUGACACUAACUGAGUACCCGCUAUGUGCCAGGCACUGUGCUGAAUGCAUUGUAAGGACUUUCUUAUUCCCCACAGGAGCCCUAAGAGGGGGUGCUAUUAUCCCCUCUUUACAGACAAACCGAAGCUCAGAGAGGGAACUGCCUCCCUCAGGGUCACCCAGCUACAAGUGACAAAGCCUGUGCUUCUAACACCAAAGACCACUUCCCACUGACCCUGUGCCAGGCUUGAAUUCUCUCUGGGCCUCCGUUCCCUCCUCUAGGAAAUUGGAGGGCUUGGGGUAGCUCCAGUGAGCUCUCCCCUUCCUGAAAUUCCUACCAAUGUGCGGCAGCCAAGGCUUAGCCCCCCAGCCUGUGAACCCCUGACAGUGCCCACAGCCAUGCCCUCCUCCAUCCAGGGGCUGACAGGUGGGAGGGGCAGCCCCACCCUGGGGAGUGGACUUACCCAGCCUCUCU
This is an RNA transcript of Cebus imitator (Panamanian white-faced capuchin), 2103 nucleotides long. It is a transcript of the gene named malignant T-cell-amplified sequence 1-like, with no coding region annotated. NCBI's taxonomy places the organism in Eukaryota, Metazoa, Chordata, Mammalia, Primates, Cebidae. The record is from RefSeq and is a predicted model, not a curated record. The transcript has a single exon.